This 710-nucleotide ribosomal RNA is filed under the name Roseovarius sp. Its description in RNAcentral is "bacterial SSU rRNA". It matches the Rfam family "Bacterial small subunit ribosomal RNA", at positions 43 to 801 of the family's 1533-position model. Lineage: Bacteria; Pseudomonadati; Pseudomonadota; Alphaproteobacteria; Rhodobacterales; Roseobacteraceae. The record is from RNAcentral.
CGGGACCUACACAUGCAGUCGAGCGAGAACUUCGGUUCUAGCGGCGGACGGGUUAGUAACGCGUGGGAACGUGCCCUUCACUACGGAAUAGUCCCGGGAAACUGGGUUUAAUACCGUAUACGCCCUUCGGGGGAAAGAAUUUCGGUGAAGGAUCGGCCCGCGUUAGAUUAGAUAGUUGGUGGGGUAACGGCCUACCAAGUCUACGAUCUAUAGCUGGUUUUAGAGGAUGAUCAGCAACACUGGGACUGAGACACGGCCCAGACUCCUACGGGAGGCAGCAGUGGGGAAUCUUAGACAAUGGGCGCAAGCCUGAUCUAGCCAUGCCGCGUGAGUGAUGAAGGCCUUAGGGUCGUAAAGCUCUUUCGCCAGGGAUGAUAAUGACAGUACCUGGUAAAGAAACCCCGGCUAACUCCGUGCCAGCAGCCGCGGUAAUACGGAGGGGGUUAGCGUUGUUCGGAAUUACUGGGCGUAAAGCGCGCGUAGGCGGAUUGGAAAGUUGGGGGUGAAAUCCCAGGGCUCAACCCUGGAACUGCCUCCAAAACUAUCAGUCUAGAGUUCGAGAGAGGUGAGUGGAACUCCGAGUGUAGAGGUGAAAUUCGUAGAUAUUCGGAAGAACACCAGUGGCGAAGGCGGCUCACUGGCUCGAUACUGACGCUGAGGUGCGAAAGUGUGGGGAGCAAACAGGAUUAGAUACCCUGGUAGUCCACACC